Molecule: non-coding RNA, 779 nt
Organism: Puntigrus tetrazona (Sumatra barb)
Lineage: Eukaryota; Metazoa; Chordata; Actinopteri; Cypriniformes; Cyprinidae
Source: the annotation of a RefSeq genome assembly
CAGGAGUGCUGAAGUGCAAAGCUUCAGCAGAGUUUUUGGGAUCCUUCAAUAUAACAAUAACAGCGAAUCAUAAGGACAUUGCCAAGAAACCAUUAGAGGGACAAAUGUGGAACUUGACGCUCCAAUAGGCUAUGAAGAAUGGAGAAACGGCACUAAAUUUACAUGCAAGGUUGAACACGAUGACCUCAUGGAGCCCACGUUGAAAACGUUCAACAGAGAAAAUGUCCCAGGAACAGCCAAGAAACCCACAGUUUACAUAUUAGCGCCCCCAGAGCACAGACCAGACGAACCGGUGACCCUGACAUGUUACGUGAAAGACUUCUACCCCAAAGAGGUGUUUGUGUCUUGGCUUGCUGACGAUGAACCUGUGACUUCUAAAUACACCACUAGCCUGCCAAUUCAGAACGAUCAAACCUUUUCAGUCUACAGUCAGCUAACAGUUAAUGCUUCCAAAUGGAAGAAUGGCACAGUGUUCAGCUGUGUCGUGUAUCACGAAAAGCAUCGAUGACAAUAUGCGCGUACUGACCAGAUCUAUUACUGACGAUACUGAUAAGGCAGGUGUAAUUAAUCUAAGUAUGAAUACUGCAUCUUGCAAGGCCUAGAGCAUUGUGUAUGUGGUGUCCUCCUGUUAUGCCUGUUAAGUGCUCAUUUUGUUUUCUCCUUUUGUCUUUUGGGUUGCAUGUCCAUUUUUGUAAUCGUGUUGGUCUUUAAUGUUUGUGGCUUCUUGCUUCUUUGAGAUACUUUCUUGCACGUUGCAUUUAGGAAGAGACUAAUAAAAA